UACGGAGGGUGCAAGCGUUAUCCGGAUUCACUGGGUUUAAAGGGUGCGUAGGUGGGUUAGUAAGUCAGUGGUGAAAUCUCCGAGCUUAACUUGGAAACUGCCAUUGAUACUAUCAGUCUUGAAUAUUGUGGAGGUCAGCGGAAUAUGUCAUGUAGCGGUGAAAUGCUUAGAUAUGACAUAGAACACCAAUUGCGAAGGCAGCUGGCUACACAUAUAUUGACACUGAGGCACGAAAGCGUGGGGAGCAAACAGG
Molecule: ribosomal RNA, 253 nt
Filed under: uncultured bacterium
Lineage: Bacteria
Description: partial 16S ribosomal RNA
Rfam family: Bacterial small subunit ribosomal RNA
Source: RNAcentral